GUUUGAGACAAGCCUGGGAAACAUGGCAAAACUCCACCUCUACAAAAAAAUAUAAAAAUUACCUGAGUAUGGUGGCACAUACCUGUAGUCCCAGCUACUUGAGAGGCCGAGGUGGGAGGAGAGCUUGAGCCUGGGUGGUUGAGACUACAGUGAGCUGUGAUUGUGCCACUGUACUCCAAUCUGGGCAACAGGGCAAGACCCUGUCUCAAAAAAUAAUAAAAAUAAAAAUGCUAAGGAAUCAAAAGUAACUUUCAAUCUAUAUAAUUGUCCUUAUUUGUCUUGAAUAUGUGCACCAUAUCAUAAAACAUCAUAUAUUUAAAGUGUCAUUUAAGGAGAAUUUAUUCAGUGCUUCAUUGUCAGGACUCUGGUGAAAUGGCAGAUUCUGCUCAUAAAAAAAAAAUGAAGGUGAAAGUGAUUUUUCACUUCCUGAGUAAACAAUAUAACCUGAGGCAUAGAUGUGCAUUUUGAGAGUUACGUUUUAAAUUAGACUUAAGUUUUCUACUUUCAAAUUUAUAUUUAAGAUUCUUGCAAUCUUUUACUCACUUUUGAGAAUUUGCAAGAAUUUAUUUUAAGCAUAAGCAAUCUUAAUAUAAUAAUCUGUAAGAAAAUGAAUUGUUCCUAUGUUUUGCACUAGAGUAAUGACUUUGAUUUUGAUGUGGUAUUGAUCAAUAACUCUAUUCUAUAGGAAAAUGGAAACGUCACUCCCUAGAAACAGUUGAAGUUGACAGACCUAGAGGUUGACAAAAGGACACAACACUAGGGUUAAGACACAUAAAACUGCCACAUGGAGGUGCCAAUUGGUCAAAAAUCAGCAACUUCAUACUGUUCAACCUAAAAGAAGACCACCUUAGGGAAAACUGGCCACGGUUGCUUUACCUAUACCAAAGACCUCAACCAUCAGUACAGCAAGGUCUUGUAAUUCAGAGUCAACACUCUGCAAUCCUAUCUUCUAUUUUCUAACUAAACCUGUCAAGUCACAUUUAAGACCAUCCACAAAAAAAGAAGAUUGCACAGCUGUGACAUUGUCACCCCUACUGAGACCAAAGUAUACCUGGAAUUUACUAGUUAAGCAGUCUCAGAAAUCAGAGAUGGAUUGUUUAUAGAGUUGGAUUCAUUGCCAAUAAAUCUUAAAG
Molecule: long non-coding RNA, 1133 nt
Filed under: Macaca mulatta (Rhesus monkey)
Lineage: Eukaryota; Metazoa; Chordata; Mammalia; Primates; Cercopithecidae
Description: lncRNA (ENSMMUG00000056283.1)
Source: RNAcentral